RNAcentral lists this ribosomal RNA (1343 nucleotides) under uncultured bacterium. RNAcentral describes it as "16S ribosomal RNA". It matches the Rfam family "Bacterial small subunit ribosomal RNA", at positions 28 to 1378 of the family's 1533-position model. The record is from RNAcentral.
GACGAACGCUGGCGGCGUGCUUAACACAUGCAAGUCGAACGGAAAGGCCCUGCUUUUGUGGGGUGCUCGAGUGGCGAACGGGUGAGUAACACGUGAGUAACCUGCCCUUGACUUUGGGAUAACUUCAGGAAACUGGGGCUAAUACCGGAUAGGAGCUCCUGCUGCAUGGUGGGGGUUGGAAAGUUUCGGCGGUUGGGGAUGGACUCGCGGCUUAUCAGCUUGUUGGUGGGGUAGUGGCUUACCAAGGCUUUGACGGGUAGCCGGCCUGAGAGGGUGACCGGCCACAUUGGGACUGAGGUACGGCCCAGACUCCUACGGGAGGCAGCAGUGGGGAAUAUUGCACAAUGGGCGGAAGCCUGAUGCAGCAACGCCGCGUGCGGGAUGACGGCCUUCGGGUUGUAAACCGCUUUCGCCUGUGACGAAGCGUGAGUGACGGUAAUGGGUAAAGAAGCACCGGCUAACUACGUGCCAGCAGCCGCGGUGAUACGUAGGGUGCGAGCGUUGUCCGGAUUUAUUGGGCGUAAAGGGCUCGUAGGUGGUUGAUCGCGUCGGAAGUGUAAUCUUGGGGCUUAACCCUGAGCGUGCUUUCGAUACGGGUUGACUUGAGGAAGGUAGGGGAGAAUGGAAUUCCUGGUGGAGCGGUGGAAUGCGCAGAUAUCAGGAGGAACACCAGUGGCGAAGGCGGUUCUCUGGGCCUUUCCUGACGCUGAGGAGCGAAAGCGUGGGGAGCGAACAGGCUUAGAUACCCUGGUAGUCCACGCUGUAAACGGUGGGUACUAGGUGUGGGGUCCAUUCCACGGGUUCCGUGCCGUAGCUAACGCUUUAAGUACCCCGCCUGGGGAGUACGGCCGCAAGGCUAAAACUCAAAGGAAUUGACGGGGCCCCGCACAAGCGGCGGAGCAUGCGGAUUAAUUCGAUGCAACGCGUAGAACCUUACCUGGGUUUGACAUGGAUCGGGAGUGCUCAGAGAUGGGUGUGCCUCUUUUGGGGUCGGUUCACAGGUGGUGCAUGCCUGUCGUCAGCUCGUGUCGUGAGAUGUUGGGUUAAGUCCCGCAACGAGCGCAACCCUUGUUCACUGUUGCCAGCACGUUAUGGUGGGGACUCAGUGGAGACCGCCGGGGUCAACUCGGAGGAAGGUGGGGAUGACGUCAAGUCCUCAUGCCCCUUAUGUCCAGGGCUUCACGCAUGCUACAAUGGCUGGUACAGAGAGUGGCGAGCCUGUGAGGGUGAGCGAAUCUCGGAAAGCCGGUCUCAGUUCGGAUUGGGGUCUGCAACUCGACCUCAUGAAGUCGGAGUCGCUAGUAAUCGCAGAUCAGCAACGCUGCGGUGAAUACGUUCCCGGG